This 441-nucleotide ribosomal RNA is filed under the name uncultured bacterium. RNAcentral's name for it is "partial 16S ribosomal RNA". It matches the Rfam family "Bacterial small subunit ribosomal RNA", at positions 338 to 795 of the family's 1533-position model. The record is from RNAcentral.
CCUACGGGAGGCAGCAGUGGGGGAUAUUGCACAAUGGGGGAAACCCUGAUGCAGCGACGCCGCGUGGGUGAAGGAGUAUUUCGGUAUGUAAAGCCCUAUCAGCAGGGAAGAACAAUGACGGUACCUGACUAAGAAGCACCGGCUAAAUACGUGCCAGCAGCCGCGGUAAUACGUAUGGUGCAAGCGUUAUCCGGAUUUACUGGGUGUAAAGGGAGCGCAGGCGGCGCGUUAAGCCUGGUGUGAAAGUCCGCGGCCCAACCGCGGGACUGCAUUGGGAACUGGCGCGCUGGAGUGCCGGAGGGGUAGGCGGAAUUCCUAGUGUAGCGGUGAAAUGCGUAGAUAUUAGGAGGAACACCAGUGGCGAAGGCGGCCUACUGGACGGUGACUGACGCUGAGGCUCGAAAGCGUGGGGAGCAAACAGGAUUAGAUACCCGGGUAGUC